GGGAAUAUUGCACAAUGGGGGAAACCCUGAUGCAGCGACGCCGCGUGAGCGAUGAAGUAUUUCGGUAUGUAAAGCUCUAUCAGCAGGGAAGAAAAUGACGGUACCUGACUAAGAAGCCCCGGCUAACUACGUGCCAGCAGCCGCGGUAAUACGUAGGGGGCAAGCGUUAUCCGGAAUUACUGGGUGUAAAGGGAGCGUAGACGGUGAUGUAAGUCUGGAGUGAAAGGCGGGGGCCCAACCCCCGGACUGCUCUGGAAACUAUGUGACUGGAGUGCAGGAGAGGUGAGCGGAAUUCCUAGUGUAGCGGUGAAAUGCGUAGAUAUUAGGAGGAACACCAGUGGCGAAGGCGACUUUCUGGACAGUAACUGACGUUGAGGCACGAAAGUGUGGGGAGCAAACAGG
RNAcentral lists this ribosomal RNA (402 nucleotides) under uncultured bacterium. Its description in RNAcentral is "bacterial SSU rRNA". It matches the Rfam family "Bacterial small subunit ribosomal RNA", at positions 357 to 776 of the family's 1533-position model. The record is from RNAcentral.